CCUACGGGAGGCAGCAGUGGGGAAUAUUGGACAAUGGGCGAAAGCCUGAUCCAGCAAUGCCGCGUGAGUGAUGAAGGCCUUAGGGUUGUAAAGCUCUUUUACCAGGGAUGAUAAUGACAGUACCUGGAGAAUAAGCUCCGGCUAACUCCGUGCCAGCAGCCGCGGUAAUACGGAGGGAGCUAGCGUUGUUCGGAAUUACUGGGCGUAAAGCGUACGUAGGCGGUUAUUCAAGUCAGAGGUGAAAGCCUGGAGCUCAACUCCAGAACGGCCUUUGAAACUAGGUAGCUAGAAUCACGGAGAGGUUAGUGGAAUUCCGAGUGUAGAGGUGAAAUUCGUAGAUAUUCGGAAGAACACCAGUGGCGAAGGCGACUAACUGGACGUGUAUUGACGCUGAGGUACGAAAGCGUGGGGAGCAAACAGGAUUAGAUACCCCAGUAGUC
RNAcentral lists this ribosomal RNA (440 nucleotides) under uncultured bacterium. RNAcentral describes it as "bacterial SSU rRNA". It matches the Rfam family "Bacterial small subunit ribosomal RNA", at positions 338 to 795 of the family's 1533-position model. The record is from RNAcentral.